CCGAGUUUACAACUCCCAAACCCUUUGUGAACCUUACCUACCGUUGCUUCGGCGGGGACGACGCCGCUCGCGGCGCCCGCCGGGGGACCCAAACCCUCAUGUUUUCCGUCCGCGGAUUUCUCCUCUGAGUGGCACAUAAACAAAUAAAUAA
Molecule: unclassified non-coding RNA, 151 nt
Filed under: soil metagenome
Description: partial internal transcribed spacer 1
Source: RNAcentral